AGUCAGAGAGAAAUACAGCGGCGUUUACAAGCUUGGAAACGUGAAAUUUCAGAUUUCUUGCUGUGGUACUGGUCUGCUGCCAAGCCAACUUAAAAAUGCUGGACACCCUGUGAAUGUCUUGAGAAUUAGGUGGCAUAUAUAAGACCAUCG
This is a long non-coding RNA of Pristis pectinata (smalltooth sawfish), 150 nucleotides long. RefSeq lists it as uncharacterized. NCBI's taxonomy places the organism in Eukaryota, Metazoa, Chordata, Chondrichthyes, Rhinopristiformes, Pristidae. The transcript is spliced from 3 exons. The record is from RefSeq and is a predicted model, not a curated record.